GACGAACGCUGGCGGCGUGCUUAACACAUGCAAGUCGAACGGAAAGGCUCUGCUUUUGCGGGGUGCUCGAGUGGCGAACGGGUGAGUAACACGUGAGUAACCUGCCCUUGACUUUGGGAUAACUUCAGGAAACUGGGGCUAAUAUCGGAUAUGAGCUCCUGUUGCAUGGUGGGGGUUGGUAAGUUUCGGCGGUUGGGGAUGGACUCGCGGCUUAUCAGCUUGUUGGUGGGGUAGUGGCUUACCAAGGCUUUGACGGGUAGCCGGCCUGAGAGGGUGACCGGCCACAUUGGGCCUGGGGUACGACCCAGACUCCAACGGGAGGAAGCAGUGGGGAAUAUUGCACGAUGGGCGGAAGCAUGAUGCAGCAACGCCGGGUGCGGGAUGACGGCCUUCGGGUUGUAAACCGCGUGCGCCUGUGACGAAGCGUGAGUGACGGUAAUGGGUAAAGAAGCACCGGCUAACUACGUG
Molecule: ribosomal RNA, 468 nt
Filed under: uncultured bacterium
Lineage: Bacteria
Description: partial 16S ribosomal RNA
Rfam family: Bacterial small subunit ribosomal RNA
Source: RNAcentral